Molecule: long non-coding RNA, 605 nt
Filed under: Homo sapiens (human)
Lineage: Eukaryota; Metazoa; Chordata; Mammalia; Primates; Hominidae
Description: non-protein coding lnc-WBP4-2:6
Source: RNAcentral
GUUUGGAACUGUGGUUUUGGAAUCCAGAGUAGUCGCCUCGUUCUAGUAUCCAAUUGCUCCAGCACCAACUGGUGAAAAGACCAUCAUUCUUCUACUCAGUUGCAUUUGAAGCUUUGUCAAAAACCAGACACAAUUGGAGACACAGGUUCUUCUAUCAAGGCCUUGACUGGAAUGGCAUAUUUUCAGAUAUGACCACAUUGCUUUGAGGAAAUGAGGCUGAUGUUGCAGAGCUGAUAAAACCCCCACAGAAAGGCCAGCCUACCUCUGAACAGGGUCAUGCCCUUCCAACAUCCCAUCCUGAUGGCUGGAAUAUGGACAUGAGGGUGAACCACCUUGGACCAUGUGAAACAGGGUAACACCCCAAGGGCAGUAGAACAGGAAGACAACAAGCCUGGGUCUCAGAUAACUUUGUAGCUCAGGAUCCACAUAAAAGAUUGGACUGUUAUAUGAGAAAUCCUUUUAAAGAUCUAUAAGGUCUCUCUUGCAUACAACCAACUUAUGUGCUAACUAAUGUAUAAAGUGAGAGAAAACCUCAUCCUAUGACAUAUUCUCUGUACUAAUAAAGCCUUGAAGACAUUGACACUCUGGAUCAGGCUGUGCCUUGA